CGAUAUCAAACUGUGAAAGACAAGUGUAUAUGUGUAUGGCUGGCCGGCCGGCCAGCAUGCAUGCAUGCUAAUUAAUUUGUUUAGAGUUUAAUCGAGCUAAACAAUGCUACUGAUUCCUGCCUGGUGCACAUAUAUGCAGCAUGCAGUUUCAAGGCAAAAGGGAAGAAAAAGAUGGCAUGCCUGAUGCUUUGUUUUAUUCACCAUCAGGUGGCUAGCUAGCGACCGGAGCAGGCGGUACCCACCCCAUGGGCAUACUACAGGUGGGCUUCAUUUUUAUGUUUGCUAUCAAGUGUUUUUAUUUUUGCUACAACUUUCGCUCAGAGCCCCGAUAGAGCUAGUAUAUACUCCCUUUAUCCCGAAAUACUUGUCAUAUGAAUAAAUGUAUCUACAUGUAUUUUAGUUUUACAUACAUUCAUUUUCAUUUAUUUGUAAACAAAUAAUUUCGGAAGGAGGGAGUAUAUUGCUUAAUCCAACUAUGCCAAUAUGAAUCCAACUAUGUCAAUAUGAAUGGACGUGCGUCAAAUAAAAAACAAGCACCCAUGAUAAGCCACUCUUUUUAAAAUAAAAAAAUGGGUGUUCCGACGGCAUGUCUUAAGCUCUUGCUUAGUUCGGGCCGCCCACUGCAUGCAUGUUUUGUGAGUGACUGCGUGGUCCACCAACUUCCACUUGCUCAUGUUUAUUAUUUUGACAAAUUUUAAAUCUACUAUAUUUUUGAACUAAAAGUUCAGUUUAUGUUUCAUUUGCAUUUUUAUCUUCCUUGUGAUGAAUACUUUCAAACAAGCCCACUCUUAAAUACAUUUGACAAGUUCAAUUUUUUACAAUAUUAAAACUUGAUCGUCGUAAUAUUAAGUUUUGCCAAGUUUUACCAAGAUUCCAAUGUUUAAACUUAAUCAUAAAUCCCUAAACUCUAAACCGUAAACCCUAAAAUAUUAUAAACUUAAUCCUAAAACCCUAAACCAUAAACAAAAACUUAAUAUUAUAAAUUUUCCUACGCUCACCAAGAUCAAUCUAUGGAGAUCAAUAUCUAUGAGAGGGGGAGUGCAUCUACAUACUCUUGUAGAAUGCUAAGUGAAAGUGUUAAGAAAUGUGGUUGAUAUAGUCGAACAUCUUCGUGAUCCAAUCACGAUCCGUCCAGCAAUCCAAUCACGAACGUCCCGAUCAAGUGUCGAACGGACGUCGACCUCCGCGUUCAGCAUACGUAAAGCUCGAUGACGCUUUCACCACCUUGAUCCAGCAAGUGUGGAUGAAGUGUUUUCUGAGUUCUCGGGCCGCACGACGGCUUGGUGGCGGUGGUGGUGGUGCUAUUCCGGCAGAGCUACGUCGAGCACUACCGAAUCUGCAAACGGAGGAGAAGACAGGAAGAAAGAGGGCGCAAAGGGCUUGGUGUGUCCUCUUGCCCCCCCCCCUCUAUAUAUAGGUGUAGGGGCAUGGGGACAGCUCCUCCAAGACCUAGGCCGCAUCCAAGGUGGAAGGAGGUGGAAUCCGAGUCCUCCUCCUUCCCUUCCAUACAAAGGUGGACUUUCCACCUUUCCCAGUUGCAUGUGUCUUCAGGGAGUUGUGCGCCUGGCCUAAUAAGACCAGGGGGCUCCCCUUAGUGCAUGCAAACCCUUGGGACGUGGUGGAACCCUUGGUGGACUUCCCUCAGUUUUCGGAACCUUCUAGAAGCUUCCUGGUACAAUACCGGAAAAACCUAAAACUUUUCCGGUAAACAAAAUAUGACUUCCCAUAUAUAAAUAUUUACCUCCGGACCAUUUUGGAACUCCUAAUGAAGUCCGGGAUCUCAUCCGGGACUUUGAAAAACCUUUGAUCACCAAUACAAUAACUCAACUAUAUAUAUAUAUAUAUUGUCACAGAACAUUAGGUAUGCAGACCCUGCUGGUUCGAGAACUAUGCACACAUGACCGAGACACAUAUACGGUCAAUAACCAAUAGCGGGACCUUGAUGCCCAUAUUGGUUCCUACAUGAAAUGGCUUAACUUAUUUCUACCGGGGUCUCCUUUGCAAUGGAAAAAAGCGCGGGAGAGCAACUUCUCAUAAAAAUCUCACUUAGAAGCGAAGGGGCAUACCCUAUGAACAUUGAAAAAACUAAGGUAUGACAAUUUGGCAGCAAAAUGAUAAGGUAAAAACAAAUAUAGGUCAGGGGUAUUAUAGACUUUUCAUAGGAGCUUAUUUGGACCUUAUUUUCACAUGAGCUAAUUUCCACACUAAACUCAAAAGAACUAGCAAUUCAAGUGGCUAAAUUUUAACCACAUAUAUUCUUCCAUGCUUUCUCUAUCAUAGGUGACUACUAGAAAUUUUUGAGCAUAUCCUUUUGACUGGGUGACAAAAACAUUCUUCUCACAAAAGUAAGUUUGCUUCAAAAAAUUAAGUAUACAUGAGCUUGAUGGUUUGUAUUCAAGUAUUGUCAAAAGAUAGGUGGAAUCGUGAUAGAAAGAAUACCAUGGUGAAACCUGAAGCAUGCACAUAUAUAAUUUUUUCCCUAACAUAAUAAGAAAUAUCAAGAUGUUCUUAUACAAUUUAAACCGAGUACCAAGGUCUUGAAAUAUUACAAAUUCAUAGAUGCUUAUAGUGUACAUGUUAUAAUACACUAUAAUAUUACUAUGUACUUCUGACCAAAUUUAUAGUGAUGGUGGAAUGCUGCAGAUAUAGAAGAGUUCUAUUUUCACCGACGAGUUAAAUUUUGGUAUGUCCAAAUCUUUAAUGUAUCGAUUCAUAAUAUUAAAUGACAGAUGCGGUUUGAGUUUUUUAUCUAUACAUUGUAGGUUUCUUAAAGGUGAACAAAUUUAUUGGGGUUUGGAAGAUCUAUGGCUGCUGAAGAUUUGGAAGACAAACAAUUAAGUUGAAGUGAAAAUGCAAUAUGCCUUGUUUGCUGAACCUGGAGAUACUGUCAACUUUUACUCUCUCAUUUUGGUGGUUGUUUUGCCACAUAAGUCAUUGUAUGCUCAUUUUGGUUUUGUGGCACAUCUAGAAACAUAUGUACUUCUCCUUUUUUUGGCACAACGUCCUUUUGUGUUGUUGUUCAUGCAUGUAUUUGUAUUUAUCAAAUGAAGUUUAAGAUUUUGGGUUAUGCAUA
RNAcentral lists this long non-coding RNA (3073 nucleotides) under Hordeum vulgare. RNAcentral's name for it is "long non-coding RNA (HVUL_LNC011112)". The record is from RNAcentral. Lineage: Eukaryota; Viridiplantae; Streptophyta; Magnoliopsida; Poales; Poaceae.